UCAGAUUAUUUAACAUUUAAAAAUCUUUUAAAUUAUAGUGAAAAAUUCAAUAUGCUAUCUAAACUUUAAAAAUCUCUCCUUUAUUUUAGUUUUAGGUCGACAAAGGAGGAUUUCGUUGCUUGAUCAUGACGAUCGUUACCUGCUCUUUUCUCUGGUUUAACCAAAUAGAGUUGGUUUCCCAGUCAAAAUCUGAGCUCACUAGGUGCUUUCGGGCUUUGAUCUUUCUUCUUAUAUUUUAAUUUGAUAUCUGAACCAUAUUUUAAUUUUUUUUU
RNAcentral lists this long non-coding RNA (272 nucleotides) under Durio zibethinus. RNAcentral's name for it is "long non-coding RNA (DZIB_LNC000099)". Lineage: Eukaryota; Viridiplantae; Streptophyta; Magnoliopsida; Malvales; Malvaceae. The record is from RNAcentral.